AGUGGACGCUGGCGGUAGGCCUAACACAUGCAAGUCGAACGGCAGCACAGUAAGAGCUUGCUCUUACGGGUGGCGAGUGGCGGACGGGUGAGGCAUACAUCGGAAUCUACUUUUUCGUGGGGGAUAACGUAGGGAAACUUACGCUAAUACCGCAUACGACCUACGGGUGAAAGCAGGAGAUCUUCGGACCUUGCGCGACUGAAUGAGCCGAUGUCGGAUUAGCUAGUUGGCGGGGUAAAGGCCCACCAAGGCGACGAUCCGUAGCUGGUCUGAGAGGAUGAUCAGCCACACUGGAACUGAGACACGGUCCAGACUCCUACGGGAGGCAGCAGUGGGGAAUAUUGGACAAUGGGCGCAAGCCUGAUCCAGCCAUACCGCGUGGGUGAAGAAGGCCUUCGGGUUGUAAAGCCCUUUUGUUGGGAAAGAAAAGCAGCAGGUUAAUACCCCGCUGUUCUGACGGUACCCAAAGAAUAAGCACCGGCUAACUUCGUG
This 492-nucleotide ribosomal RNA is filed under the name uncultured bacterium. RNAcentral's name for it is "partial 16S ribosomal RNA". It matches the Rfam family "Bacterial small subunit ribosomal RNA", at positions 29 to 507 of the family's 1533-position model. The record is from RNAcentral.